UGGGGAAUAUUGCGCAAUGGACGAAAGUCUGACGCAGCGACGCCGCGUGAAGGAAGAAGGUUUUCGAAUUGUAAACUUCUGUUAAGUGGGAAGAAAUACGCAGGUCUAAUACAUCUGCGGGCUGACGGUACCACUAGAGAAAGCACCGGCAAACUUCGUGCCAGCAGCCGCGGUAAUACGAAGGGUGCAAGCGUUAUUCGGAGUAACUGGGCGUAAAGAGCGUGUAGGCGGUCUAAUAAGUCGCAUGUUAAAUUCCACAGCUUAACUGUGGGUAUGCAUGCGAUACUGUUAAGCUGGAGGGCAAGAGAGAGAAGUGGAAUUCUCGGAGUAGCGGUAAAAUGCGUAGAUCUCGAGAGGAACACCGGUAGCGAAGGCGGCUUCUUGGCUUGUACCUGACGCU
This 400-nucleotide ribosomal RNA is filed under the name uncultured bacterium. RNAcentral describes it as "bacterial SSU rRNA". It matches the Rfam family "Bacterial small subunit ribosomal RNA", at positions 355 to 747 of the family's 1533-position model. The record is from RNAcentral.